RNAcentral lists this ribosomal RNA (164 nucleotides) under uncultured bacterium. RNAcentral describes it as "partial 16S ribosomal RNA". It matches the Rfam family "Bacterial small subunit ribosomal RNA", at positions 1337 to 1500 of the family's 1533-position model. The record is from RNAcentral.
AGUAAUCGCGGAUCAGCAUGCCGCGGUGAAUACGUUCCCGGGCCUUGUACACACCGCCCGUCACACCAUGAGAGUCGGGAACACCCGAAGUCCGUAGCCUAACUGCAAAGGGGGCGCGGCCGAAGGUGGGUUCGAUAAUUGGAGUGAAGUCGUAACAAGGUACC